AUGGUAGGAUAGAGGCCUACCAUGGUGGUAACGGGUAACGGGGUGUUAGGGCACGACACCGGAGAGGGAGCCUGAGAAACGGCUACCACAUCCAAGGAUGGCAGCGGGCGCGCAAAUUACCCAAUCCCGACACGGGGAGGUAGUGACAAUAAAUAACAAUACGGGGUUCUUUAGGAUCUCGUAAUUGGAAUGAGUACAAUUUAAAUCUCUUAACGAGGAACAAUUGGAGGGCAAGUCUGGUGCCAGCAGCCGCGGUAAUUCCAGCUCCAAUAGCGUAUAUUAAAGUUGUCGCAGUUAAAAAGCUCGUAGUUGAAUUUCGGGGUCAGUAGGUCGGUCGUGCCACUGGUAUGAACUGGUUUUACUGAUUCCUCCCUCUUGAAGAACUGUAAUGCCAUUAAUUUGGUGUUGCAGGGAAUCAGGACUGUUACUUUGAAAAAAUUAGAGUGUUUAAAGCAGGCUUUAGCUUGAAUACAUUAGCAUGGAAUAAUGAAAUAGGACGUUUGAUCCUAUUUUGUUGGUUUCUAGGAUUGACGUAAUGAUUAAUAGGGAUAGUUGGGGGCAUUAGUAUUCAAUUGUCAGAGGUGAAAUUCUUGGAUUUAUUGAAGACUAACUACUGCGAAAGCAUUUGCCAAGGAUGUUUUCAUUAAUCAAGAACGAAAGUUAGGGGAUCGAAGACGAUCAGAUACCGUCGUAGUCUUAACCAUAAACUAUGCCGACUAGGGAUCGGAUGAUGUUAAUUUUUUAAUGACUCAUUCGGCGCCUUACGGGAAACCAAAGUGUUUGGG
This 785-nucleotide ribosomal RNA is filed under the name uncultured Glomus. Its description in RNAcentral is "SSU rRNA". It matches the Rfam family "Eukaryotic small subunit ribosomal RNA", at positions 325 to 1111 of the family's 1831-position model. Lineage: Eukaryota; Fungi; Glomeromycota; Glomeromycetes; Glomerales; Glomeraceae. The record is from RNAcentral.